GAUGAAGAACGUAGCGAAAUGCGAUAAGUAAUGUGAAUUGCAGAAUUCAGUGAAUCAUCGAAUCUUUGAACGCACAUUGCGCCCCUUGGUAUUCCGAGGGGCAUGCCUGUUCGAGCGUCAUUACACCACUCAAGCUAUGCUUGGUAUUGGGCGUCGUCCUUAGUUGGGCGCGCCUUAAAGACCUCGGCGAGGCCACUCCGGCUUUAGGCGUAGUAGAAUUUAUUCGAACGUCUGUCAAAGGAGAGGAACUGUGCCGACUGAAACCUUUAUUUUUCUAGGUUGACCUCGGAUCAGGUAGGGAUACCCGCUGAACUUAAGCAUAUCAAUAAGCGGAGGA
This 337-nucleotide unclassified non-coding RNA is filed under the name soil metagenome. RNAcentral's name for it is "partial contains 5.8S ribosomal RNA, internal transcribed spacer 2, and large subunit ribosomal RNA". The stretch from base 1 to 120 matches the Rfam family "5.8S ribosomal RNA", at positions 35 to 154 of the family's 154-position model. The record is from RNAcentral.